Molecule: non-coding RNA, 82 nt
Organism: Desulfosporosinus sp. OT
Lineage: Bacteria; Bacillati; Bacillota; Clostridia; Eubacteriales; Desulfitobacteriaceae
Source: Rfam
UAGAUACUGCGUAACUGACGGAAGUGGAAGAAACCACGGGGAGCGCAGUAGGAUUUGUAAGCCGACCGUCUGGGUAACCGUU